This is a small nuclear RNA of Trichechus manatus latirostris (Florida manatee), 107 nucleotides long. Lineage: Eukaryota; Metazoa; Chordata; Mammalia; Sirenia; Trichechidae. The record is from RefSeq and is a predicted model, not a curated record.
GUGCUCACUUUGGCAACACACAUACUAAAAUUGGAACGAUACAGUGAAGAUUAACAUGACUCCUGCACAAAGAUGACACAUAAAUUCGUGAAGCAUUCCAUAUUUUC